Molecule: ribosomal RNA, 432 nt
Filed under: uncultured bacterium
Lineage: Bacteria
Description: partial 16S ribosomal RNA
Rfam family: Bacterial small subunit ribosomal RNA
Source: RNAcentral
ACGAACGCUGGCGGCAUGCCUAACACAUGCACGUCGAACGAGACCUUCGGGUCUAGUGGCGCACGGGUGCGUAACGCGUGGGAACCUGCCCUUAGGUUCGGAAUAACACCCCGAAAGGGGUGCUAAUACCGGAUAAUGUCUUCGGACCAAAGAUUUAUCGCCUUUGGAUGGGCCCGCGUUGGAUUAGCUAGUUGGUAGGGUAAAAGCCUACCAAGGCGACGAUCCAUAGCUGGUCUGAGAGGAUGAUCAGCCACACUGGGACUGAGACACGGCCCAGACUCCUACGGGAGGCAGCAGUGGGGAAUAUUGGACAAUGGGCGAAAGCCUGAUCCAGCAAUGCCGCGUGAGUGAUGAAGGCCUUAGGGUUGUAAAGCUCUUUUACCCGGGAUGAUAAUGACAGUACCGGGAGAAUAAGCGCCGGCUAACUCCGUG